GAACCUACCUAUAAGACUGGGAUAACUUKCGGAAACCGGAGCUAAUACCGGAUAACAUAUUGAACCGCAUGGUUCAAUAGUGAAAGGCGGCUUUGCUGUCACUUAUAGAUGGAACCGCGCCGUAUUAGCUAGUUGGUARGGUGACGGCUUACCAAGGCAACGAUACGUAGCCGACCUGAGAGGGUGAUCGGCCACACUGGAACUGAGACACGGUCCAGACUCCUACGGGAGGCAGCAGUAGGGAAUCUUCCGCAAUGGGSGAAAGCCUGACGGAGCAACGSCGCGYGAGUGAUGAAGGUCUUCGGAUCGUAAAACUCUGUUAUCAGGGAAGAACAAAUGUGUAAGUAACUGUGCACAUCUUGACGGUACCUGAUCAGAAAGCCACGGYUAACUACGUGCCAGCAGCCGCGGUAAUACGUAGGUGGGCAAGCGUUAUCCGGAAUUAUUGGGCGUAAAAGCGCGGCGYRGGCGGUUUUUUAAGUCUGGAUGUKGAAAGCCCACGGGCUUCAACCGUGGAAGGGUCMUUUGGGAAACUGGRAAAACYUUGGAKUGCMGAAMGAAGGGAAAAGUGGGAAAUUUCAUGUUGURAGCGGGKGAAAUUGCGCAGAAGKAAUGGRMGGAACCCCCRGUGGGCGAARGGCGACUUUUCYUGGGUCUGUUAACUKGACGC
Molecule: ribosomal RNA, 670 nt
Filed under: Staphylococcus sp.
Lineage: Bacteria; Bacillati; Bacillota; Bacilli; Caryophanales; Staphylococcaceae
Description: partial 16S ribosomal RNA
Rfam family: Bacterial small subunit ribosomal RNA
Source: RNAcentral